This is a long non-coding RNA of Bos taurus (domestic cattle), 1160 nucleotides long. The record is from Ensembl. NCBI's taxonomy places the organism in Eukaryota, Metazoa, Chordata, Mammalia, Artiodactyla, Bovidae.
ACCGGGGCCUGAGCCCCAUCCAGAGGGUCCUGUUGACCUGGGCCCCCGCCUAUGUCAGAACAGGAAGGGUGUGACGGACCCCAGAGAGUGAGCUGCACCUCGGCCUAUGCCUGCCCUGCAGGCCGAGCCAGGUGGUGACAGUGAUGAGGCUGACUGUCCCCUCGUGGUUCAGCCACCGUUCUGGCCAAGCGAACUGGUGUGGAGCUCACAGCCACUCAGACACAGGAAAGCUGAGGGGCAUGGUGGGGAGUAGCCUUGGGGGACUGAAAGCCGGCCACGCGGCAGGAGAGGUCCCCAGAGAAGCCGGUGGCGCUCCAGCCUGCCUGCAGCAUCUCCACCCGGAGAGCGCUGACAGUGGCCCAUAAAUCAUCAUCAGUACCUCCUGCUCCAAAAACAGGCCCAUCCUGACAGCCGGUCUGCGGAGCGGCAGCUCAGCGCCAAGCUCAAUCACCAGAGAAAUCAGUGUAAUCAGCAUGAAAUUGCAUCGGAAACAAAUUUAGCAAACACAGUCCCAUUUGGGGGUGUGACGUGGCCUGUUCGCAUAGCUGUCCCCUCCAGCUUUCCGGCGCAAUCAGCCCUGCCGAGGGCCUCAGGCCCGCCGGCGGGCACGUCAAAGCAGGCACGGGUCUGUGGGCGCAAUUAGCGCUCAAAUCAAGCAGGAUGGGGGUGGGGGUGGUGCCAUCUGACUGUCAUGCACAUGGGAGCAUCCAGGCUGUUAGCCCUUAAUGCCAAGGCCGGGCAGGCCUGCUGCGCAGGGCAGCACACGGUGUGGGGGUGUCCGGUGGCCAGAGUGAAGGCUCCAGGACGCUGGGCUGAGCCCUUCUGUGUGCCAAGCUCUGCACGAAGCCGUGGCGAUGCGGAGGCAGGGUUCAGGUAACAGCGCCUGGGAACACCCUGGUGACUGCACAUGGGGGCCUGUGGUAGCCGCCAGCUGGACAGACAGGAAGGGCCACCUGGAGAGGGGCAGUGCCCCUCGGGCCAGGGUGACUCGGGCGGCCGUGCUCCACCAGGGAGCACAGGCUGUCCUAGGCUCCUUGGGAAGCAAAGCGCGGGCCCUCAAUCGCACCUGGAGGCCGCGGGACCCUUCCGAGGCUUCUCCAGGGAGCCGAAGUCACCACGCGCCGGGCCUAAGCCGCCGCCCCACCCCGCACUUCCGCUUC